This 2998-nucleotide long non-coding RNA is filed under the name Lactuca sativa (garden lettuce). Its description in RNAcentral is "long non-coding RNA (LSAT_LNC009349)". The record is from RNAcentral. Lineage: Eukaryota; Viridiplantae; Streptophyta; Magnoliopsida; Asterales; Asteraceae.
UUAAAUUGAUUUUAGAAAACAUUGCAAUCUAACCCCAAUGUUGAUCAAUUUGCCUCAUUGGAAGUAUUUCUUGCAACAAACUGAGGUUUUUGACUUAGCCCUCCUUAUUCCCAGAUUGAGCAUGUUGAAUACUAAUCUGUCAGAAAAUAUUUCUCUUAAUUUUGGCUUUCUCUAAAUAUAAGUCUCCCUAAACCUCUACGAGCCCUAAAACACCAACCAUCAGUCGUACCCUCACCGCCAGUCACCAUCAUAAGCUGCCCACCAUCUCUAUCGGCAUCUUACAUCUGCCACCGGAUCUCUUUCCUCGCCACCAUCGAAUAGCCACCGAUCACUCACCUCCAUUACUCCAAUUGUUUCUAGCUGACACCAAAUGGAGCUGUUGGAAUGAAAACGAAUGGAGCUAUAAGAAUGAAAUCGAAGUCAUGAAGAGGAACAAGAACAGGGACGAAAAAUAUGGUGCUUCGUUUUGUUUGAAUUUUCCCCCUGCUUAUUACGAGCUCUAAAUGAAAACUUGUAUUAUUUUGAAUUUCAAUCCAGAUUGUAGGAAUGGGUCAAAUCAGCCACUAGGUUUGAUUUUUUUUACCUUUCCAAUCUUUAUCAUUGCAUUUGCUUUCCCUGUUUUGAUUUGUAUUUAUCAUCAAUUUUAUAAGUUUUUGUUUUGUGUUCCAUUGUAGAACAAUUUUGGGUAUGUUUUUUUUUGCUCCUUUCUAUGUAAGCCUUUUUCCCUUUCUCAUAUUUUUUUUAAUUUAGAUCGAACUUAUAUGUAUUACCAUAUCUAUUUGCUCAUGUUUUUUAUUUUCUCAUGAUUUAGGUAAUGCUUGGAAAGGAACGACAACCCAAAAGCCAUAUGAGGGGUUUGGGAAUACCCAAUAACCAUGUAGUCAUCUGGUAUGGCUUCAGAAGCUUUCUUCAUCUUUUUGUUUCAUUAUCUUUUCCUGAUUUAUUCACCCAUAUCUUACUUGAAAGUUUUUGUGAACACAUGUAACUAAGGGCUCUUUCUUUAUAAAACUUACUUGACUAACAUGAUGUGUAUUAACAAUCUUUUUAGGUGGUUGUUAAGAUCUUUAUUUCUUUUUGCAGAUCUGACCAUAAAUGAUCUAUCGAUGUCCAUCUUUUGAUAAUUUCUUUUUGUCGUUAUGUUAAUAAGGUUUUUAGACCAUUUCAAGGUUAAGGUUCGUAUUAAGCUCAAAAUAAAAAGAUAAAUGGAUGAAAUAAGAUAAUGUAAGGGCAAGAGAAAAGUUUGAUUGCUUAUUUAAUUAUUAAAACUGUUGUAUAAAAUGAGUUGUAAAUAUCCGAAUGUAGGAGAGAUGGUGGUCAAAUGAAGUUGUGUACAUGGUAUGAUGUGAAAUGAAUGUAGGAGUAGAGUAUUUGGACUUUACAACAGGUAAGAGAUCCUCAUAAAGCUUCAAUUUACAGGUUUCAUAGCUCCAACCUUCAAGUUUUGAUUUCAAAAUUUCACCCCUAAAAUGCGUCCACAAUGGUAAGUACCUAAAAUGUUAUUUCAAAAUGGUUUAGGAUCCAAUUUUUCUCGAGUUAUCUGAUUAGUCAACUUAUGCCGGAUAAAUCAGAUGUGCAACAUCAGAUCUAUACCUUUUGUAUUUUAUGUUAGCUUUUAAAUGUCUCAGGCCUAUACUUUUCCUUUCGUGCUGAUUUCAAUAUACAUGUUGAAAUUUGGGUCUGUCAUUGUUUAUGUUGAAACGAAAGUUCACCUGAUUUUUUUGAAUCCGGUAUCUUUUAAAAAAAUAUAUCUUAUCCUUGCAAAUGAUCAACAAUUGUAGUUCCUUGAAGCUUAAUCUUUGAUUUGUGUUUUUAUUUUUUUAGCUUAUUUGGGAAAACUUUCUAAUAGACUUUGUAUUGUGAUUGAAAAUGAUUAAAAAAUCAUAGUUCGAAUAUCCUCCCAUUGGAUACUCACCAUACAAUCUUCCAAAACUAUGGUUCGGUUGUUCAAGCGGGGAUCAAAUGUCAUGCCUAUGGACUUUAAUCCCCAAUAACCUCUUAGGUUUAUUCCAUAUCUACUUACUUCCACCCCUAAAUAAUGUUUGACCUCAUUCGUUUGAUACUUUUUCUCAUGAUCUUAAAUUUAUCUUAAGAGCAAAAUGCAAGAAAUGGCAACAUACUUUCAUUUAUAUGUUUAUUAUAACAUCCUACUUCUAUUUUCAUUCUACUAUAAAACUUUUAGCACCUAGCAAUAGAGACUAUGAUUCCUUCAUGUCCUAUUCAAGUGACAAUAUGGUAUGAGUUUGGUUUUGAGUUUUUGUUUCCUGGGAUUAUAUGGUUGUUUACAUUUAUUCAGAUCUGAAUUUUAUAGUUUUCAGACAGUUCUUUGCUUCAACAGUUUCUCAUAGAAGAUUGGCUUCUUUGGUUGGCUUACUCACAAAUUGCCAACCCCUAGGAUAUAUUAUGAUUGAAUGAUUAGCUCCCAUUGCAGAUUGUGUUUUGCACCAUUGGUUCAAAUUAAAGUCUAUAUGAUCAUUAGGUUGUGAGUUUGAGAGAUACAUGUAUGUUGCUAGAGGUUACUUUCUUGAUACACACGAGCCUGAAUAUGUUGAAAAGAGCAUGCAAGUAUAGUUACAAUCUAAUAACAAAAAUAUUCAUUAUAGUUUCAUCCUUACAUGUAUAGACACUUUAAAUAAUAAAAGCUCAAUUGUGAUAUGUGGUUCCACUUUUUUGUCUGUGUAAAAGGAACUCUAAAAAAUCAUUAUAAAGUUUCAUCCUUACAACUAUAGACACUUCAAAUAAUAAUAAAAACAAACUAAUUUUUUUUUUCAAAACUAAUUAAAAUAAUUUCAAAAUAUUUGACUAAAGAAAAAUAGUUUUUGUUCAAGCCUCAAGUGGUUAUUUUCUAUUUGGAGUCGAAGUUUAUUUUCUAUUUUAUAAAGAUAUCUGGAAUUUAAUUAUUACCUAUGCGUUUUUUUAAUUUUGAAAAAUAUUCAUCAAAAUUAACUAAAAUAAUUAAACCUAUUUUUUGUAAUUCUAUAACUUUUUGGAUGAAAUAUUU